GAUGAAGAACGUAGCGAAAUGCGAUACGUAAUGUGAAUUGCAGAAUUCAGUGAAUCAUCGAGUCUUUGAACGCACAUUGCGCCCCUUGGUAUCCCGAGGGGCAUGCCUGUUCGAGCGUCAUUUCACCACUCAAGCCUGGCUUGGUGUUGGGCGACGUCCCCUUUGGGGACGCGCCUCGAAACGCUCGGCGGCGUGGCACCGGCUUUAAGCGUAGCAGAAUCUUUCGCUUUGGAAGUCGGGGCCCCGUCUGCCGGAAGACCUACUCGCAAGGUUGACCUCGGAUCAGGCAGGGAUACCCGCUGAACUUAAGCAUAUCAAUAAGCGGAGGA
RNAcentral lists this unclassified non-coding RNA (329 nucleotides) under soil metagenome. RNAcentral describes it as "partial contains 5.8S ribosomal RNA, internal transcribed spacer 2, and large subunit ribosomal RNA". The stretch from base 1 to 120 matches the Rfam family "5.8S ribosomal RNA", at positions 35 to 154 of the family's 154-position model. The record is from RNAcentral.